This 260-nucleotide ribosomal RNA is filed under the name uncultured bacterium. RNAcentral's name for it is "partial 16S ribosomal RNA". It matches the Rfam family "Bacterial small subunit ribosomal RNA", at positions 96 to 353 of the family's 1533-position model. The record is from RNAcentral.
UGGCGGACGGGUGAGUAACGCGUGGGUAACCUGCCUUAUACAGGGGGAGUAACGGUCAGAAAUGGCUGCUAAUACCGCAUAAGCGCACAGAGCUGCAUGGCUCAGUGUGAAAAACUCCGGUGGUAUAAGAUGGACCCGCGUUGGAUUAGCUUGUUGGUGGGGUAACGGCCCACCAAGGCGACGAUCCAUAGCCGGCCUGAGAGGGUGAACGGCCACAUUGGGACUGAGACACGGCCCAGACUCCUACGGGAGGCAGCAUG